RNAcentral lists this ribosomal RNA (765 nucleotides) under uncultured Streptococcus sp. Its description in RNAcentral is "bacterial SSU rRNA". It matches the Rfam family "Bacterial small subunit ribosomal RNA", at positions 28 to 776 of the family's 1533-position model. Lineage: Bacteria; Bacillati; Bacillota; Bacilli; Lactobacillales; Streptococcaceae. The record is from RNAcentral.
GACGAACGCUGGCGGCGUGCCUAAUACAUGCAAGUAGAACGCUGAAGCUUGGUGCUUGCACCGAGCGGAUGAGUUGCGAACGGGUGAGUAACGCGUAGGUAACCUGCCUGGUAGCGGGGGAUAACUAUUGGAAACGAUAGCUAAUACCGCAUAAAAUGGAUUAUCGCAUGAUAAUCGAUUGAAAGGUGCAAAUGCAUCACUACCAGAUGGACCUGCGUUGUAUUAGCUAGUUGGUGGGGUAACGGCUCACCAAGGCGACGAUACAUAGCCGACCUGAGAGGGUGAUCGGCCACACUGGGACUGAGACACGGCUCAGACUCCUACGGGAGGCAGCAGUAGGGAAUCUUCGGCAAUGGACGGAAGUCUGACCGAGCAACGCCGCGUGAGUGAAGAAGGUUUUCGGAUCGUAAAGCUCUGUUGUAAGAGAAGAACGAGUGUGAGAGUGGAAAGUUCACACUGUGACGGUAUCUUACCAGAAAGGGACGGCUAACUACGUGCCAGCAGCCGCGGUAAUACGUAGGUCCCGAGCGUUGUCCGGAUUUAUUGGGCGUAAAGCGAGCGCAGGCGGUUAGAUAAGUCUGAAGUUAAAGGCUGUGGCUUAACCAUAGUACGCUUUGGAAACUGUUUAACUUGAGUGCAAGAGGGGAGAGUGGAAUUCCAUGUGUAGCGGUGAAAUGCGUAGAUAUAUGGAGGAACACCGGUGGCGAAAGCGGCUCUCUGGCUUGUAACUGACGCUGAGGCUCGAAAGCGUGGAGAGCAAACAGG